AGCAUUGACUCUCUCUUUCUCAUAUCCAUGGACAAGACAUCAUCAUUCUACAGCCACGAAGGAAAGCCCAUUCGAUGCAAAGCAGCAAUAUGUAAAAAAGCAGGAGAACCAUUGGUGAUCGAAGAGAUCCACGUUCAUCCACCUCAAGCUUACGAAGUUAGGAUUAAGAUCGUAUGCACAACUCUUUGUCACACCGAUCUUGCUUUCUCGAAAUAUGACAGUGGACCACUCGCAAGGUUUCCUCGAAUUCUAGGACACGAAGCAGUUGGUUUGGUAGAGAGCAUAGGUGAACAUGUGGAUGGAUUCAAACACGGCGACGUGGUAUUGCCAGUAUUUCACCCUCACUGUGAAGAAUGUAGAGACUGCAAAUCUUCAAAGGGCAACUGGUGCACAAGAUUUGCCGAAGAUCUCGUGUCAAACACGCGACGAUACGGAAUGGCUUCGAGGUUCAAGGACUCUAUGGGAGAAGAUAUUCACCAUUUUUUCUUCGUCUCAAGUUUUUCUGAAUAUACCAUCGUUGAUAUCGCUCAUCUCGUUAAAAUCUCCCCUGAAAUUCCCGUUGAUAGAGCGGUUUUGCUGAGCUGCGGUGUCUCCACAGGAAUUGGAGCAGCUUGGAGAACGGCUGACAUUGAAGAAGGCUCCACCGUUGCAGUUUUUGGCCUUGGUGCUGUUGGACUAGCGGUCGGAGAAGGCGCCAGGCUGCGGGGGGCAGCGCAGAUCAUCGGUAUUGAUAUCAAUCCUGAUAAAUUCGCGAUAGGUAAGAAAUUUGGCUUCACGGAUUUCGUCAAUCCUACCUUGUGUGGAGAUAAAAAGAUUAGCGAGGUGAUUAAAGAAAUAGCAGGCGGAGGAGUUGACUACAGUUUUGAAUGUGUUGGUAUAACUUCUGUAUUGAGCGAGGCUUUCCUUAGCACCCGCACGAGAAGAUUAGCAUGGUCCUUGCGCAAGGAUGACACACACAAAUCGGGAAAUGGGUACAGGAAAAACGGUAGCGUUGGGGAUAAAUCCUGCAGCUCCAACAGAAUUGGAUAGUUUUGGUCUUUUCAGAGGAAAACAUGUUUGUGGAAGUUUGUUUGGUGGUCUAAAACCCAAGCUAGAUAUUCCCAUUCUCGUGGAUCGAUACUUAAAGAAGGAGCUUAAUCUGGAUAGUUUUAUCACACAUGAACUGAAAUUUGAAGAUAUCAAUAAGGCUUUCGACUUAUUAGAGAAAGGAAAGUCUCUCCGGUGCAUUCUGUGGAUGGAUAAGAAAUAAAUAUUUUAUGUUAGACGACCAAAAAAUAUUUUAUGUAAAUGGUGAUGUGUCACUAAGUCUUCUCUGUUUUUGUCUUUUUCUCAUUUUGAUAAAUUAUUACAAAUAUCCUUCUGUUUAAUAUUAAGAAUGAAUGAUGAAAACU
This is an RNA transcript of Brassica oleracea var. oleracea, 1391 nucleotides long. It is a transcript of the gene named alcohol dehydrogenase-like 5, with no coding region annotated. The transcript is spliced from 10 exons. The record is from RefSeq and is a predicted model, not a curated record. Lineage: Eukaryota; Viridiplantae; Streptophyta; Magnoliopsida; Brassicales; Brassicaceae.